GCUGGUCUUUUACAGUUGGCUCGUUAUUGUGCUGAACUCAUUUUGGGAGCAGAUCUGAUUGAAGACAUUGAAGAUGAGUUCCCAAAGAUGAUCGAUAUAUGAUUCAAUGAAAAGUUUGCAGCGCUUCUUCUCUGGGUGGACGCGGGACCACAGCGCCACCGUCUGGAGAGGAGAAGGAAAUAGCCCCUGUGUUUGAGCCCGUGCCACAGGAUUACCC
Molecule: long non-coding RNA, 217 nt
Filed under: Neogobius melanostomus (round goby)
Lineage: Eukaryota; Metazoa; Chordata; Actinopteri; Gobiiformes; Gobiidae
Description: lncRNA (ENSNMLG00000011841.1)
Source: RNAcentral